Artibeus jamaicensis (Jamaican fruit-eating bat) is the source of this 1254-nucleotide long non-coding RNA. RefSeq lists it as uncharacterized. The record is from RefSeq and is a predicted model, not a curated record. NCBI's taxonomy places the organism in Eukaryota, Metazoa, Chordata, Mammalia, Chiroptera, Phyllostomidae. The transcript has 3 exons.
UGUGCCCCUAGGGGCGGACUGAGAAGUCAGUGUGAAGUUUCCCUGUGUGAGUUCCAGCAAAGGAGACUAAAAGAUCCUAGGUGAUCCAGGCUGCCCUUGGUGUGUCCAAGUCUAGGAACAGUCAAAUUUCAAAGCGGAUCCAAAUUAGUCCCCUGAAUAAUCACCCCAUGGAGGGUGAUCUGAAGGAGAAAAAUGGCAGUUGAAGGACAAUCCAAAUGCUCAAUAUUGGACCUCAGAGUGGCUCGUGUACCUGUGUUGAAAGUUUGCUUUCAUUUGAAGGUUGAAACCGGGAUCGUAAUAUCACCAGAGAUGGACCAUGGACAGGUGCAAAGGACCUGCCAAAUGGCUAUUGUUAAGUGUCAUUGAGAGGAGGGCCUUGAAACUGCAUGUCUUUUCAAGAGAAAGGCCCACUGGCCCAGAGACUGUGUCGGGGAUGGUUGUGUGAAUUGACCUGUGUGUCCUUCAUUUUUCAUAGGGUGUAUACGGACGACCUGAUGCCCUGAGUGAUUGGUUGCAAUCGAGGCCUCAGAAUAGGACAAGGAUGCCAGCUGCCCAGUACAGCCAGCCCUUGGACACCAAGCCCUCGACUUCCUGGUGACAGCCACGUGACCAGGAUUCUGAAAGGUCCUUUUCCUGACAGGAAGGACUUCCUGUGUGCUGAAGGGCACCUCCUUUGAGGGCACCUCGGUCCCAAGGGUGCUGGCUCCACUGUGGUGUCCAUCACCAGUAUCUUCACCAUCAGUGGUUUGUGCCAUAAAAGGACAUGCGGCUAGACCCCGUACAGUCAAGUUCCACAUAGUCACUUGCAUAAAACCUGAUUAGAAACACUGGUCAGAUAGCUCAUUUCUUUUCCAGGUUUAGCCAAAGCCUCCUUGAGUUUAUUUGUACAUUCAUAGAGGAUAUAUAGAGAUGAAAGUGUAUAUACUUCUGAGUCUAAAAUUUUGGAAGUGCCUAAACUAGGUGGUCAUUUUAAUGUCUAAAACUUGCAUUUUGUGAUUUUUUAUCUGAAAUACUGAGAUUAAAAUGGACUUGACUCAAAAUGUGUUUGGAAUAAUAAAUGUGAAAUGGCAUUUUUAAAAAGUAGUAAUUUUCAUUUAUGAUACUAUGUAUUAAUAAUUUAAUUGUGAAUAAUGUUCUUAAAUGCCACUUUAAAACUUAUGACAUCAUAAAUAAUUAAUAAAGGAUUUUCUUGUCCUAGCUGGUGUCACUCAGUGUAGUGAGCUUUACCCUGUGAACCUGAAGUUCGCUGGCACA